AACAAGGCGUACCUGCGGACCUGCGGAAGGAUCAUUACCGAGUUUACAACUCCCAAACCCCUGUGAACAUACCUAUACGUUGCCUCGGCGGAUCAGCCCGCGCCCCGUAAAAAGGGACGGCCCGCCCGAGGACCCCUAAACUCUGUUUUUAGUGGAACUUCUGAGUAAAACAAACAAAUAAAUCAAAACUUUUAACAAUGGAUCU
This 205-nucleotide unclassified non-coding RNA is filed under the name soil metagenome. RNAcentral describes it as "partial contains 5.8S ribosomal RNA, internal transcribed spacer 2, and large subunit ribosomal RNA". The record is from RNAcentral.